RNA transcript from Zingiber officinale, 3295 nucleotides. RefSeq lists it as uncharacterized. NCBI's taxonomy places the organism in Eukaryota, Viridiplantae, Streptophyta, Magnoliopsida, Zingiberales, Zingiberaceae. The record is from RefSeq and is a predicted model, not a curated record. The transcript has 5 exons.
UCCCGUGCGUCUUCUCCCGUGCCCUAAAAUGCUGCUUCCGUCGCUCUUCUCCUUGUGCCGUGCUUCCGGCGCACCACCGCUCCUCCUUCGCCCCCUGUUGCUCACACACCGACAGCCCUUUGCUAAUCCCGCAUCCUCUCUAUCGAGCUCGUCUUCUCCAUAUUUUCCAGUGAUCCCUUCCAUUCGUCGCAUCCUCUCUGUUGUGGAUUACUUGGUGUUGAAACCAUUCAUAGGUUUCCUUAAUUAUAAGACAUUAUGGGAGGCCAUAAUCCCGGUAUCGAUGUGGAGAAAUAUGAGUGGUCAAAGACUUAUGUUGCCAUGUUUGUCGAGAUCAUUUAUGAUAAAGUGAAGCACAAUAAGUUACAAACAUCUACCUUUAGUAAUGUGGUUUGGGAGGAGAUCAACAAAGAAUUAUAUUGGUGUGACAAUGAACAGCUACGAAGACAAAUUGUGGUGUCGAUAGACUCAAAGGUAAAUGGAAUCGUCUACGCACCAGACAACGACUUUUUGCUGCAUUGCUUGCUCAUACUGGUGUGACAAUGGAUCCAGACACUGGUAAAGUGAAUGCUCCAGAGGAAGUGUGGGCAGAAUUUUAUAUGAAAAAUAAAAGGGAGUACAAGUCAAUACGAAAGGAAGGUUGUGAUCAUUUUCACAUUCUUUGUGAAGUUUUUGGUGGGACAACAAUAAUAGGUGAUAUGCAUAGGGCUUCUACUCAAUUACCUCCCACAUCUGAUGAAGAGAGAGAGCUUGAAGAAGCAUUCAUUAAUAGAGGUGUUAACUCAUAUGUUGAAGUCAUUGAUGAUGAGAAUGAGGAUGUCGGAGGGGAACCUAAUAAUUGGCGGCAGCGUGUUGCAGAAUCAUCCAAUAGUCGUCGACGUAAAGAUCCUAAACAUUCAAGAAUUGAAAAGUAUGAGGCUUAUAUGGACAAGUGGAGUAAUACCAUGGAACAGCUGAGUGGAGAAUCUAUUUCUAGACAAAAAAUACUUGGAGUUUAGGGCUGCUAAGUUAGAACGUGAACAAGAUAUAUCCUGCUCUUCUGGAACUAGCAUGUUCAAUGAUCCAUACUCUAUAGAGAUGUGCAUGCAGAUUUUAAAUGGGAUGGAAUCAUUAUCUAUCCAAGUAUACACAAAAGCUACCGAAGCUUUCCUUAAACCUGGUCUGCGUGAAAUUUUCAUGAAAAUUCCAUCAAAUAGGAGAGCUGAAUGGUUGGAUUGCCUCAAUCUUGAGCACGUGUAGGAUCAUAUGUUGCCAAGUUGAUGGGGAGUGCUUUUAUUACCUAGCCGAAGACUACUUAAUGUUAAUGGAGUUUGUUUGAUUUUGUGGCUUGAAUAUUGAAGACUUGUUUGAUAUUUUGGAAUUUAAUGUUGAAGCCUAUGUUGAUCUUUUCAAUAUGAAUUAUUUAUUCGGUGUUUAUGUGAUGAAUAUAUUGAUAAUUUGAUACAUGUGUGUUGAUUUUAAUAUUGGUUUGAUGCAGAUCAUGUCAAGCUCUGAUGAUGAAUAUGAUGAAUUAGGUCCAGAUAUUAAUUUGCUGAUAGUUUUGGGUAUUGCAAAUGAUUUUUUUUCAUGACAUGAUGACUGAAUAUUUUAGAUACAUUGAUGGAAUGUCGUGCCGAACUUCAUCUCUUAAUGGGAGGAUGUAUAUACAAGAAAUACUUGAUGGGCACCCCCAAGUUUGCUUUGACAAUUUUCGUAUGUCAAAACAUGUGUUUAUGAAUUUUUGUAAUACAUUAAAAGAGAUGAAUCUAUUGCAAGAUGGAAAGAAAGUUACAGUUGAAGAAGGUGUCGCUAUGUUCUUACUAAUUGUCGGGCACAACACACGACAUCGGAUAUGUGCAGAUCGAUUUCAACAUUCAUUCUACACCAGUAGCAAGUGGUUUAAACGAGUUCUACGAGCUGUUUGUACCUUGGGCACAUAUAUUAUUUGACCAUAUGAACACAAUGGCGUCCAUCCUCACAUAUUGAACAAUCCAAAGUGGUUUUCAUAUUUUAAGAAUUGUCUUGGUGCUAUCGAUGGGACUCACGUGUUGGCAUGGGCACCAUCAUCAAUUCAGACAUCUUUUCGUGGUAGAAAGGUUAUUGUUACACAAAAUGUGAUGCUUGCAUGUGAUUUCGAUAUGCUUUUCACAUUUGUGUAUACUGGUUGGGAGGGGACAGCAAAUGAUUCCAGGGUGUUCAUAGACGCAUUGACAAGGCAUGAAAAUAAUUUUCCUAAACCUUACGGUGGUAAAUAACAUAUAAAACUCUCUAUAUAUAUUCAUUUAUGUUGAUAUUUUACAUCAUUAAUAUGGAAACAAUAUAUGCAGAUCAAUUUUAUCUUGUUGAUUCUGGUUAUCCAAACAUGCCGGGGUUUCUCGCUCUGUAUCGAGGUCGACGCUAUCACUUGCGAGAUUAUUGGGGGCAAGGUAGACCAAGGGGGAAGGAAGAGUUAUUUAAUUAUAGGCACAGUACAUGUCGUAAUAUUAUAGAGCGGUGCAUUGGGGUGCUCAAAGCAAGGUUCUGAAAUUUAAAAGAUAUGCCAAACUAUCCAAUUACUAGGCAAAGAUUAAUUCCAGUUGCAUGUUGUGCGGUGCAUAAUUUCAUACGUCGACAUCAUGCAAUGGAUAAUUUGUUUAUGGAAUACUCUUCUGAUGAUAUGCUUAUGUCUGGAGUCGAAGGUGAUUUUAAUGAUCAAGAGCCGAUUCCAAUUGAUUCAAGUCAAACAGCUCAGAUGGGAAGCAUACGUGAUGAAAUUACAAGCAAUAUGUGGAAUGAUUAUAUGGUGCACUCCCCAAGUACCCAACCUUAGUUUUCCCUUGAAACAUCAGUCUCUUGCUACAGCCUCGAAAGAAUGAAUAGAAGCUUCAUGGAGUAAAUUCUAAUUUUGCACUCUUGUAAUUGAGCACCUAAAUUGUGAGUAAAUUCUUCUUCAAUGCUAUGCAUUUGUUUAGUGUUGUUCUGCAAAAAUUCUUUGAUGGUUGUCAAAUUCUUUAGUUGUUUUAAGUUGGCCUUCCGAUUUCCCUUUGUCAGAUUUAGUGUUAGAAAUUUGAUCUGUGUAAAUAGAACGACUACUUAUGAAGCUGAUGGCCAUACAUUCUAAUCAACCUUUUUUGGCAGAACAUGAUUUUACCAUCUUUUGCUUCUGUUCAACAAACAUCUAUCACAAACAUUUUAUUUAUUGUAUGCCAAAUGGCUUCAACCUAAGCAAGGUCAAAUGCAAGCCUUUUUUUCUUGUUCUUUUUUUGCCCUUUGUCAAAAUGACUAACCAUUCAUUUUAUGCUUUGGCCAUUUGGGCUAACAGGUAACUUUUGAUGUCAAA